RNAcentral lists this long non-coding RNA (225 nucleotides) under Ananas comosus (pineapple). Its description in RNAcentral is "long non-coding RNA (ACOM_LNC037474)". Lineage: Eukaryota; Viridiplantae; Streptophyta; Magnoliopsida; Poales; Bromeliaceae. The record is from RNAcentral.
AGCCAAAAGCUGAAGCUAUUAAGUAGAGAUACUCUUUAUAUUGUACACAGAUCAAGAUUCUAUUUUGUGUCGAAUCUAUGAUUAUUAUUCUUAACAUGUCCUGACAUGUGACAGGCACUACUAGCAUGUGGCAAGGAUCCAAUACAAUCACAAAAACCUAUAUAUUUAUUCGCAACUAAUAUAUAAAGUAAAUGCGCAAUCUGUACACUACUUCACGUACUAGAC